Molecule: transfer RNA, 73 nt
Filed under: Anaerolineaceae bacterium 4572_78
Lineage: Bacteria; Bacillati; Chloroflexota; Anaerolineae; Anaerolineales; Anaerolineaceae
Also listed under: 1 other name
Description: tRNA-Thr
Rfam family: tRNA
About the family: Transfer RNA (tRNA) molecules are approximately 80 nucleotides in length. Their secondary structure includes four short double-helical elements and three loops (D, anti-codon, and T loops). Further hydrogen bonds mediate the characteristic L-shaped molecular structure. tRNAs have two regions of fundamental functional importance: the anti-codon, which is responsible for specific mRNA codon recognition, and the 3' end, to which the tRNAs corresponding amino acid is attached (by aminoacyl-tRNA synthetases). tRNAs cope with the degeneracy of the genetic code in two manners: having more than one tRNA (with a specific anti-codon) for a particular amino acid; and 'wobble' base-pairing, i.e. permitting non-standard base-pairing at the 3rd anti-codon position.
Source: RNAcentral
GCCUUUGUAGCUCAGUUGGUAGAGCAUCCGCCUUGUAAGCGGACGGUCGUCAGUUCAAAUCUGACCGAAGGCU